GACGGAAGGUGCAAGCGUUGCUCGGAAUUACUGGGCGUAAAGGGUGCGUAGGUGGUUUGAUAAGUUAACUGUGAAAGCCCUGGGCUCAACCUGGGAAUGCCAGUUAAUACUGUUGAGCUAGAGUAUGGGAGAGGAUAGUGGAAUUUCCGGUGUAGCGGUGAAAUGCGUAGAGAUCGGAAGGAACACCAGUGGCGAAGGCGGCUAUCUGGCCUAAUACUGACACUGAAGCACGAAAGCGUGGGGAGCAAACAGG
Molecule: ribosomal RNA, 253 nt
Filed under: uncultured bacterium
Lineage: Bacteria
Description: partial 16S ribosomal RNA
Rfam family: Bacterial small subunit ribosomal RNA
Source: RNAcentral